GGGGAGCAAUCCCUGAGUAAAGUGGCGUACUGGUGAGUAACACGUGGAUAUCUACCUCUUGGUGGGGGAUAACCUGGGGAAACCUGGGCUAAUACCGCAUAAGUUCGUGAGAAGAAAGGCGCAAGUCGCCGAGAGAGGAGUCCGCGGUCGAUUAGGUAGUUGGCGGGGUAAGAGCCCACCAAGCCAAAGAUCGAUAGCCGGCCUGAGAGGGCACACGGCCACACUGGCACUGAAACACGGGCCAGACUCCUACGGGAGGCAGCAGUGGGGAAUCUUGCACAAUGGGGGAAACCCUGAUGCAGCGACGCCGCGUGAGCGAUGAAGCCCUUCGGGGUGUAAAGCUCUUUCGGCAGGAACGAUAAUGACGGUACCUGCAGAAGAAGCUGCGGCUAACUACGUGCCAGCAGCCGCGGUAAUACGUAGGCAGCAAGCGUUGUUCGGAAUUACUGGGCGUAAAGAGUGUGUAGGUGGUGUCGUAAGUUUGGUGUGAAAUCUCCCGGCUUAACUGGGAGGGUGCGCCGAAGACUGCGAUGCUGGAGUAUGGGAGAGGAAAGCGGAAUUCCUGGUGUAGCGGUGAAAUGCGUAGAUAUCAGGAGGAACACCUGCGGUGUAGACGGCUUUCUGGACCAUUACUGACACUGAGACACGAAAGCGUGGGUAGCAAACAGGAUUAGAUACCCUGGUAGUCCACGCCCUAAACGAUGCAUACUUUGGUGUGAGCCAUUCAGUUGGUUCGUGCCGGAGCU
This 746-nucleotide ribosomal RNA is filed under the name uncultured bacterium. RNAcentral describes it as "bacterial SSU rRNA". It matches the Rfam family "Bacterial small subunit ribosomal RNA", at positions 74 to 853 of the family's 1533-position model. The record is from RNAcentral.